AUUGAACGCUGGCGGAAUGCUUUACACAUGCAAGUCGAGCGGCAGCGCGGUCUUCGGACUGGCGGCGAGCGGCGAACGGGUGAGUAAUACAUCGGAACAUGCCCAGUCGUGGGGGAUAACACUUCGAAAGAAGUGCUAAUACCGCAUACGUCCUGAGGGAGAAAGCGGGGGAUCGCAAGACCUCGCGCGAUUGGAGUGGCCGAUGUCAGAUUAGCUAGUUGGUGGGGUAAAGGCCUACCAAGGCAACGAUCUGUAGCUGGUCUGAGAGGAUGAUCAGCCACACUGGGACUGAGACACGGCCCAGACUCCUACGGGAGGCAGCAGUGGGGAAUUUUGGACAAUGGGGGCAACCCUGAUCCAGCCAUUCCGCGUGAGUGAAGAAGGCCUUCGGGUUGUAAAGCUCUUUCGGCAGGAACGAAACGGUGAGCUCUAACAUAGCUCGCUAAU
RNAcentral lists this ribosomal RNA (447 nucleotides) under uncultured bacterium. RNAcentral's name for it is "bacterial SSU rRNA". It matches the Rfam family "Bacterial small subunit ribosomal RNA", at positions 30 to 486 of the family's 1533-position model. The record is from RNAcentral.